This 162-nucleotide ribosomal RNA is filed under the name Patescibacteria group bacterium. RNAcentral describes it as "partial 23S ribosomal RNA". It matches the Rfam family "Bacterial large subunit ribosomal RNA", at positions 1 to 160 of the family's 2925-position model. The record is from RNAcentral.
AGGAAACAAGUUAAGGGCGUAUGGUGGAUGCCUAGGCUUAAAAAGGCGAUGAAGGACGCGGCGUGGCGGCGAUACGCUUCGGGGAGGUGCCAAGCAACCUUUGAUCCGGAGAUGUCCGAAUGAGGAAACUCAGCAGAAAGAGAUUUCUGUUACUUUUGGUUU